This 469-nucleotide ribosomal RNA is filed under the name uncultured bacterium. RNAcentral describes it as "SSU rRNA". It matches the Rfam family "Bacterial small subunit ribosomal RNA", at positions 26 to 518 of the family's 1533-position model. The record is from RNAcentral.
AGGACGAACGCUGGCGGCGUGCUUAACACAUGCAAGUCGAGCGGAAAGGCCCUUCGGGGUACUCGAGCGGCGAACGGGUGAGUAACACGUGGGCAACCUGCCCUUAGCUCUGGGAUAGCUCCGGGAAACCGGAAUUAAUACCGGAUAUGACCUAGGCCGACAUCGGCCGUGGUGGAAAGUUUUUCGGCUAGGGAUGGACUCGCGGCCUAUCAGCUAGUUGGUGGGGUAAUGGCCUACCAAGGCGACGACGGGUAGCCGGCCUGAGAGGGCGACCGGCCACACUGGGACUGAGACACGGCCCAGACUCCUACGGGAGGCAGCAGUGGGGAAUCUUGCGCAAUGGGCGAAAGCCUGACGCAGCGACGCCGCGUGGGGGAUGAAGGCCUUCGGGACGUAAACUCCUUUCGAUCGGGACGAUUAUGACGGUACCGGAAGAAGAAGCCCCGGCUAACUUCGCGCCAGCAGCCGC